This 357-nucleotide ribosomal RNA is filed under the name Triticum aestivum (bread wheat). RNAcentral describes it as "partial small subunit ribosomal RNA". The record is from RNAcentral. Lineage: Eukaryota; Viridiplantae; Streptophyta; Magnoliopsida; Poales; Poaceae.
AUGAAGACGAGCCUUAACAAAGGCAAUGUAAUCAGAGUCGUCACCAGUGAUGAUCAUGUCAUCAACAUAGAGAAGGAGAAGAGUCCGACCACGAGGAGACGUGUGAACAAACAACGCUGGAUCAUGAUUACUGGGCAAGAAACCAGCGGCAGUCACCACAGAGGCGAAGCGCUCAAACCAGGCGCGCGGGGCCUGUUUGAGACCAUAUAUGGAGCGGCGAAGUCUACACACCAUACCAUUGCUGGAAGGACGCAGACGAAGAGGCAGCAAGAGCAUGGGAGCUGGCAGAAGUGGUGGCAGCGGAAGGAACACAAAGCCAGUCAACCUCCCAAAGGCCCUCUGACUCACGGCGCCUAG